RNAcentral lists this ribosomal RNA (730 nucleotides) under Streptomyces macrosporeus. Its description in RNAcentral is "bacterial SSU rRNA". It matches the Rfam family "Bacterial small subunit ribosomal RNA", at positions 38 to 785 of the family's 1533-position model. Lineage: Bacteria; Bacillati; Actinomycetota; Actinomycetes; Kitasatosporales; Streptomycetaceae. The record is from RNAcentral.
UGCGGCGUGCUUACACAUGCAAGUCGAACGAUGAACCACUUCGGUGGGGAUUAGUGGCGAACGGGUGAGUAACACGUGGGCAAUCUGCCCUGCACUCUGGGACAAGCCCUGGAAACGGGGUCUAAUACCGGAUACUGACCCGCUUGGGCAUCCAAGCGGUUCGAAAGCUCCGGCGGUGCAGGAUGAGCCCGCGGCCUAUCAGCUUGUUGGUGAGGUAAUGGCUCACCAAGGCGACGACGGGUAGCCGGCCUGAGAGGGCGACCGGCCACACUGGGACUGAGACACGGCCCAGACUCCUACGGGAGGCAGCAGUGGGGAAUAUUGCACAAUGGGCGAAAGCCUGAUGCAGCGACGCCGCGUGAGGGAUGACGGCCUUCGGGUUGUAAACCUCUUUCAGCAGGGAAGAAGCGAAAGUGACGGUACCUGCAGAAGAAGCGCCGGCUAACUACGUGCCAGCAGCCGCGGUAAUACGUAGGGCGCGAGCGUUGUCCGGAAUUAUUGGGCGUAAAGAGCUCGUAGGCGGCUUGUCGCGUCGGUUGUGAAAGCCCGGGGCUUAACCCCGGGUCUGCAGUCGAUACGGGCAGGCUAGAGUUCGGUAGGGGAGAUCGGAAUUCCUGGUGUAGCGGUGAAAUGCGCAGAUAUCAGGAGGAACACCGGUGGCGAAGGCGGAUCUCUGGGCCGAUACUGACGCUGAGGAGCGAAAGCGUGGGGAGCGAACAGGAUUAGAUAC